Molecule: ribosomal RNA, 427 nt
Filed under: uncultured bacterium
Lineage: Bacteria
Description: partial 16S ribosomal RNA
Rfam family: Bacterial small subunit ribosomal RNA
Source: RNAcentral
UGGGGAAUAUUGCACAAUGGGCGCAAGCCUGAUGCAGCCAUGCCGCGUGUAUGAAGAAGGCCUUCGGGUUGUAAAGUACUUUCAGCGGGGAGGAAGGCGAUGCGUUUAAUAACCGCGUCGAUUGACGUUACCCGCAGAAGAAGCACCGGCUAACUCCGUGCCAGCAGCCGCGGUAAUACGGAGGGUGCAAGCGUUAAUCGGAAUUACUGGGCGUAAAGCGCACGCAGGCGGUCUGUCAAGUCGGAUGUGAAAGCCCCGGGCUCAACCUGGGAACUGCAUCCGAAACUGGCAGGCUUGAGUCUCGUAGAGGGGGGUAGAAUUCCAGGUGUAGCGGUGAAAUGCGUAGAGAUCUGGAGGAAUACCGGUGGCGAAGGCGGCCUCCUGGACGAAGACUGACGCUCAGGUGCGAAAGCGUGGGGAGCAAACA